Potamilus streckersoni is the source of this 72-nucleotide non-coding RNA. The record is from the annotation of a GenBank genome assembly. NCBI's taxonomy places the organism in Eukaryota, Metazoa, Mollusca, Bivalvia, Unionida, Unionidae.
GCUUCGGUUGCCUAGUGGUUAGAGCGUUUGCCUCGGAUGCAUGAAGUUGUGGUUCGAACCCCAGUCGAGUCA